AACAGCAAGGGAUUUGCAAAAGCAGUUGCACAUAGGGCACUCUAUGGUUCAAGCAGCCGCCGUGCUCUUCCAUCACGUGCUAUGAAGAGUUCCAUUUUUCAAAAUCUUUCAGAGCCCAAAAUUCUUAGCUGAUUAAGCACGGGAGAGGCCUCAACAACUUGUGGUGCAAAUUUAGGUACCUAGUCAUUGACAUGAAAAAUCUGCAGAAAACAUGCAUAAUCAGCAAUCACAGAAAAACCUUACAGGUCUUUGAGUCUGCCAAUCAUUCUUAAAGCAUACACCUACUCUUGGGGUUGAUCGUUCCUUCCUUCUCCAAAGAAAAUUAUAAGUAGGAAGCCUCUAAAUUCCUCGUUUAAUCCCACAGAGGAACAGAAAUAAACAGCCUUCAUUUUCUCUUAUCAAUCUCAGCAACAAUUCUCAAACAAUAAUAAUAGUAAUAAUAAUCUCAGCAUGGUUGCAACAAACAAUCAAUGCUUGGCCCUCUCAAAUCCAAUCCGCGACCUUAUUCGAACUACUUGUCAGUAUUGGACGCUGUUUCUUCAAAUUAAGGUAUCACUUGGGCUUUCUGGACAGACGGUGGCGAUUGGAGGAUUUUAAAAAUGGUUUUGGUUCUUAGCAAAAGAGAAACAGAAAUCACCAUCGUCACUCAAACAGGUUAUCAGAAUCAGUAUGUGAUGAACGACAGUAUUUUUAUGUGCCGUUUUACCAUUUGUUCGCAGCACAAUCGGCUCCUUUCCUCGAGCUAAGGAUAAUGAACAAAAG
This 762-nucleotide unclassified non-coding RNA is filed under the name Hevea brasiliensis (rubber tree). Lineage: Eukaryota; Viridiplantae; Streptophyta; Magnoliopsida; Malpighiales; Euphorbiaceae. The record is from RNAcentral.